GCAAGUUUUGAAAAACCUGUAACCCUUGUACAGCAAGGAGUGUUGGCUGAUUUGUAAUCAGCCGGUCGCAAGUUCGAGUCUUGUCACCAGCUUGCC
RNAcentral lists this transfer RNA (96 nucleotides) under Nodosilinea sp. LEGE 07088. Its description in RNAcentral is "tRNA-Thr". Lineage: Bacteria; Bacillati; Cyanobacteriota; Cyanophyceae; Nodosilineales; Nodosilineaceae. The record is from RNAcentral.